UACGUAGGGUGCAAGCGUUGUCCGGAAUUAUUGGGCGUAAAGAGCUCGUAGGCGGUUUGUUGCGUCGGCUGUGAAAUCCCGAGGCUCAACCUCGGGUCUGCAGUCGAUACGAGCAAACUAGAGUGUUGCAGGGGGAGACUGGGAAUUCCUGGUGUAGCGGUGAAAUGCGCAGAGUAUCAGGGAGGAACACCGGUGGCGAAGGCGGGUCUCUGGGCAACAACGUGACGCUGGAGGAGCGAAA
RNAcentral lists this ribosomal RNA (241 nucleotides) under uncultured bacterium. RNAcentral describes it as "partial 16S ribosomal RNA". It matches the Rfam family "Bacterial small subunit ribosomal RNA", at positions 524 to 758 of the family's 1533-position model. The record is from RNAcentral.